UACGUAGGCAGCAAGCGUUGUUCGGAGUUACUGGGCGUAAAGUGUGCGCAGGCGGCUUCGCAAGUCGAGUGUGAAAUCCCCGAGCUUAACUUGGGAAUUGCGCUCGAAACUACGGAGCUGGAGUGUGGCAGAGGAAGGUGGAAUUCCACGUGUAGCGGUGAAAUGCGUAGAGAUCGGGAGGAACAUCUGUGGCGAAGGCGGCCAUCUGGACCAGCACUGACACUGAGGCACGAAAGCGUGGGGAGCAAACAGG
This 253-nucleotide ribosomal RNA is filed under the name uncultured bacterium. Its description in RNAcentral is "partial 16S ribosomal RNA". It matches the Rfam family "Bacterial small subunit ribosomal RNA", at positions 524 to 776 of the family's 1533-position model. The record is from RNAcentral.